AGAGGUCCCGCCUGCCCUGUGACUGUAAGUUUAACGGCCGCGGUAUUUUGACCGUGCGAAGGUAGCGCAAUCACUUGUCUUUUAAAUGGAGACCUGUAUGAAUGGCAUAACGAGGGCUUAACUGUCUCCUCUUUCAAGUCAAUGAAAUUGAUCUCCCCGUGCAGAAGCGGGGAUACACACAUAAGACGAGAAGACCCUAUGGAGCUUUAGACACCAAGGCAGACCAUGUUAAAAACCCUAAAACAAAAGGCCAAACCAAAUGGGUCCUGCCCUAAUGUCUUUGGUUGGGGCGACCGCGGGGAAACACAAAACCCCCACGUGGAAUGAGAAUACCUCCUCUCACAGCCAAGAGCUCCCGCUCUAGUAAACAGAAAUUCUGACCAAAAAGAUCCGGCAAGACCGAUCAACGGACCGAGUUACCCUAGGGAUAACAGCGCAAUCCCCUUUUAGAGGCCAUAUCGACAAGGGGGUUUACGACCUCGAUGUUGGAUCAGGACAUCCUAAUGGUGCAGCCGCUAUUAAGGGUUCG
RNAcentral lists this ribosomal RNA (529 nucleotides) under Macolor niger (black and white snapper). RNAcentral describes it as "partial large subunit ribosomal RNA". It matches the Rfam family "Bacterial large subunit ribosomal RNA", at positions 1848 to 2575 of the family's 2925-position model. The record is from RNAcentral. Lineage: Eukaryota; Metazoa; Chordata; Actinopteri; Lutjaniformes; Lutjanidae.